RNAcentral lists this ribosomal RNA (253 nucleotides) under uncultured bacterium. RNAcentral's name for it is "partial 16S ribosomal RNA". It matches the Rfam family "Bacterial small subunit ribosomal RNA", at positions 524 to 776 of the family's 1533-position model. The record is from RNAcentral.
UACAGAGGUCCCAAGCGUUGUUCGGAUUCACUGGGCGUAAAGGGUGCGCAGGUGGGUUUGCAAGUUCGAUGUGAAAGCCCCGGGCUUAACCCGGGAAUGGCAUUGGAUACUGCAGAUCUGGAGGAUCGGAGGGGGGACUGGAAUUCUUGGUGUAGCAGUGAGAUGCGUAGAUAUCAAGAGGAACACCAGUGGCGAAGGCGAGUCCCUGGACGAUACCUGACACUGAGGCACGAAAGCUAGGGGAGCAAACAGG